UCGGGUGGGUUGCCGAUGCACGUCGCUGACCCGAAGCGGGCGAGCGCUACAGCGCCGACCGACGUUCGCCGAGAGCCAGCGAGACGGGGUUACGGCGCGGCGCACCGGUCCGACGAGCGUCCUCCCGAAUCCGAGCCWCGCACDCUCCCGAGACGGUGGGGAACGAACGAAGCYUUAACGGAACGAGAKKAAUGGACCGGUUCGCCGCGUACGAAUGAUCGUAGAUGGGGUUCYYGUCCCUGGCAGAAAGGGGCAUGAUUCGCGGCCACACAGCACGCCUUACCUCGAAGAGAAGACUUCACGACGUCGCUCACAA
This 316-nucleotide ribosomal RNA is filed under the name Idiosepius pygmaeus. RNAcentral describes it as "partial 28S ribosomal RNA". The record is from RNAcentral. Lineage: Eukaryota; Metazoa; Mollusca; Cephalopoda; Idiosepiidae.